CCUACGGGUGGCAGCAGUGAGGAAUAUUGGUCAAUGAGCGCUAGCCUGAACCAGCGACGUAGCGUGCAGGAUGACUGCCCUCUGGGUUGUAAGCUUCUUUUUUAUGGGAGUAAAUUUCAGUAUGUAUACUGCUUUACAUGUACCUUAUGAAUAAGGAUCGGCUAACUUCGUUCCAGCAGCCGCGGUAAUACGGAGGAUAGGACCGUUAUCCGGAUUUAUUGGGUUUAAAGGGUGCGUAGGCGGUUUGUUAAGUUAGGGGUUAAACGUCGGGGCUUAACCUUGACUUGCCUUUAAUACUAUAAGACUAGAGUUCAGACGAGGUAGGCGGAAUAAGAUAAGUAGCGGUGAAAUGCUUAGAUAUAACGAAGAACACCGAUAGCGAAGGCAGCUUACCAGACUGCGACUGACGCUGAGGGACGAGAGCGUGGGUAGCGAACAGGAUUAGAUACCCCUGUAGUC
Molecule: ribosomal RNA, 459 nt
Filed under: uncultured bacterium
Lineage: Bacteria
Description: partial 16S ribosomal RNA
Rfam family: Bacterial small subunit ribosomal RNA
Source: RNAcentral